ACUAAGAACCAUGUUAUCUCAUUUCACGGACAAUUAGAUGCACUUUAUUGCAGUAAUCACAGACAAAAAAUUAAAGGCUGCCUAUAAAAUAUACAUUUGUGGCUUUUCUUUUUUAUUUUUUCCUUCUGACAAGCCUCUGCGUGGCUUAAAGUUUGCUUCUAAGUUGGAGAAACCGGCCAGCACACUUCACGUUGUCACCGUUGUGUUGUGGAACUCGGUAAUGGAUGGGGAUUUCACAAGUGAUUAAUGACUCGCAGGCAGGUCUGGCUGAAGGCUUUCAGAGAGGCGAUGUAAAUCACGCAGGGCAGCUGCGGGCUCUUCAGACAGCACCAGUCAGGCUCGUAGACACUGAUCUGCGUGCUGAAACUGAAUUUGUGUCCCCUGCCCUAACCCUGGCUGCGGGGACAGGCCUGGCAGCUGCUGUUCGCCGAGGAGCUGUGUCAGCCUGGCAGGAGCAGCCGUGCUGGAGAUGCCACUCGUGGUUCGGAGCCGGCGGUGAGCUCCUCGGGGAUGUGGGGCCGUGCCCAGCGGGGCCGUGCCACAGGAGGACUGCGAGGAGCCUGCAGUGAGUACCUUGGGCACGUCUCUGCUGGCUGUGGGAUCUCAGAGAGUGGCUCCAGCCCUCGCCGGGGUGUAUCAGCCUCUGGGCUUAGCCCUUCGGGAGGGAGCCUGCGUACGUGUGUGCUCCUAGGGUGGGAAUAAAGCAAGGCGCCGUGCUCUAAGUAGGCUGCGU
Molecule: long non-coding RNA, 733 nt
Filed under: Anas platyrhynchos platyrhynchos (common mallard)
Lineage: Eukaryota; Metazoa; Chordata; Aves; Anseriformes; Anatidae
Description: lncRNA (ENSAPLG00000028890.1)
Source: RNAcentral